UUAAGCUAAUAAGAGCGCAGGGAGGAUGCCUUGGCAUCAGGAGCCGAUGAAGGACGCGGUAAGCUGCGAAAAGCUCCGGGGAGUGGCAAGCACACAUUGAUCCGGAGAUGUCCGAAUGGAGCAAUCCACAUGAGUGAAGCUCAUGUAUCAUAUACUGAAUAAAUAGGUAUAUGAGGGGAACCGUCUGAACUGAAACAUCUAAGUAGGACGAGGAAAAGAAAUCAACCGAGAUUCCGCUAGUAGUGGCGAGCGAACGCGGAAGAGGCUAAACCAGAGUCAGCAAUGACUUUGGGGUUUGGACUGCAUUUAGUAUCAAUGAGGUCUAGUCGAAGUACAUGGGAAGGUACAUCGAAGAGGGUGAGAAUCCCGUAGACGAAAGAUCAAGUUGGCGAGCAGUAUCCAGAGUACCGCCGGACACGUGAAACCCGGUGGGAACAUGGGGGGACCAUCCUCCAAGCCUAAAUACUACCUGAUGACCGAUAGCGCAUAGUACUGUGAAGGAAAGGUGAAAAGAACCCCGGGAGGGGAGUGAAAGAGAGCCUGAAACCCUGUGCUUACAAGCACACAGAGCACGUCAAAGUGUGAUGUGGUACCUAUUGUAGAAUGGUCCGGCGAGUUAUUUUAUGCAGCGAGGUUAAGGACUUAAGGUCUGUAGCCGAAGUGAAAGCGAGUGUUAAUAGCACGAAACAGUUGCAUGCAAUAGACCCGAAACCGGGUGACCUAUCCAUGUCCAGGCUGAAGUGAGGGUAAAACCUCAUGGAGGGCCGAACCGACUCCCGUUGAAAUGGUAGCGGAUGAGGUGUGGAUAGCGGAGAAAUUCCAAUCGAACCCGGAUAUAGCUGGUUCUCCCCGAAACCGUUUUAGGACGGGCCUCGUGUGAAGAUUAUCGGAGGUAAAGCACUGAAUAGCCUAGGGGGCGAGAGCCUACCGAAGCUUAUCAAACUCUGAAUGCCGAAUAAUCGUUUCACGGGAGUCAGACUGUGUGAGAUAAGUUUCAUAGUCAAAAGGGAAACAGCCCAGACCCACAGCUAAGGUCCCAAAGUGUAUUUAAGUGGAAAACGAUGUGAAGUUGCGUAGACAACCAGGAUGUUGGCUUAGAAGCAGCCACUCAUUAAAAGAGUGCGUAAUAGCUCACUGGUCGAGUGACUUUGCGCGGAAAAUUUAACGGGGCUAAAAUACACACCGAAGCUUGGGCUUGACGCUUUUGCGUCAGGGGUAGGGGAGCGUCGUGUAAGGGGCGAAGUCGUAUCGUAAGGGACGGUGGACUUUACACGAGUGAGAAUGCCGGAAUGAGUAGCGAGAAUUAUGUGAGAAUCAUAAUGGUCGAAAGCCUAAGGUUUUUGGAGGAAGGUUCGUCCGCUCCAAGUAAGCCGGGAGCUAAGGUCAGGCGGAAACGCGUAGCCGAUGCACAUACGGUUGAAAUUCCGUAGCCUCAGAAAGAUUUAAGCAGAGGGACACUUUGAAAGGACUGUAGCCGGGUGUUGGUUACCCCGGUCGUAAGGGAACGAAAUUAAGUAGUGAAGGCAGUCUGGACGGAGGCGAGAAAAGCUCUGUGUAUAUCUAAUGAGCCCGUACCGCAAACCGACACAGGUAGGUGGGAUGAGAAUUCUAAGACCAACGGGAGAAGGGUAGUUAAGGAACUCGGCAAAUUGUCCCCGUAACUUCGGAAUAAGGGGAGCCUGCGAAAGCAGGCCGCAGAGAAUUGGCCCAGGCGACUGUUUAUCAAAAACACAGCUCUAUGCUAAAUCGAAAGAUGACGUAUAUGGGGUGACACCUGCCCGGUGCUGGAAGGUUAAGAGGAGAUGUGAGAGCAUCGAAUUGAAGCCCCAGUAAACGGCGGCCGUAACUAUAACGGUCCUAAGGUAGCGAAAUUCCUUGUCAGGUAAGUUCUGACCCGCACGAAUGGUGUAACGA
This 1914-nucleotide ribosomal RNA is filed under the name human gut metagenome. RNAcentral's name for it is "bacterial LSU rRNA". It matches the Rfam family "Bacterial large subunit ribosomal RNA", at positions 3 to 2007 of the family's 2925-position model. The record is from RNAcentral.